Molecule: ribosomal RNA, 382 nt
Filed under: uncultured eukaryote
Lineage: Eukaryota
Description: partial 18S ribosomal RNA
Rfam family: Eukaryotic small subunit ribosomal RNA
Source: RNAcentral
UGUAAGCGUAUACCAAAGUUGUUGCAGUUAAAACGCUCGUAGUCGGAAUUUGGCAGUUCCGGAUGUGUGCACGUCGUGUGCGCACUUCGCGGGGAUUGCUUUUGUGGUCUUGCGUAGGAUGAGGCACUUUUAUUAGUGAACGUCCUCACGCAACCACUUUUUACUGUGAGAAAAUCAGAGUGCUCAAAGCAGGCAUUUGCCGUGAAUGUAUUAGCAUGGAAUAAUAGAAUAGGACUUGGUUCUAUUUUGUUGGUUUGUUGGGACUGAGUAAUGAUUAAGAGGGACAGUUGGGGGCAUUUGUAUUUCGGCGCUAGAGGUGAAAUUCUUAGAUUACCGAAAGACAAACUGCUGCGAAAGCGUCUGCCAAGGAUGUUUUCAUUGA